RNAcentral lists this ribosomal RNA (253 nucleotides) under uncultured bacterium. Its description in RNAcentral is "partial 16S ribosomal RNA". It matches the Rfam family "Bacterial small subunit ribosomal RNA", at positions 524 to 776 of the family's 1533-position model. The record is from RNAcentral.
UACGAAGGGGGCUAGCGUUGCUCGGAAUCACUGGGCGUAAAGGGUGCGUAGGCGGGUCUUUAAGUCAGGGGUGAAAUCCUGGAGCUCAACUCCAGAACUGCCUUUGAUACUGAAGAUCUUGAGUUCGGGAGAGGUGAGUGGAACUGCGAGUGUAGAGGUGAAAUUCGUAGAUAUUCGCAAGAACACCAGUGGCGAAGGCGGCUCACUGGCCCGAUACCGACGCUGAGGCACGAAAGCGUGGGGAGCAAACAGG